Molecule: long non-coding RNA, 1689 nt
Filed under: Brassica napus (rape)
Lineage: Eukaryota; Viridiplantae; Streptophyta; Magnoliopsida; Brassicales; Brassicaceae
Description: long non-coding RNA (BNAP_LNC013147)
Source: RNAcentral
UAGUUUUGCUUUUAUCCCUUGUUUAGAUUCGAUUAAAUUCAUCAAAACAGAAAGUUGGUCUCAAGAAGCUAUCGAAAGAAACUCUUUAUCCAAGAACAGGUCUCGAAGAACCCUAAAUUUUUAAAUCGACCGUUCACCCAUUCGUACGCUGCGCUAGUAUCCAAACGUCGUGCAUGUCUACUGCUGCAAAAACGCACGGGUCAGUGUCACCCACACCCUAUUAUUAAUUGUUCGUCUUAGCUGAGCAAUGGGCUUCCUUUUCGACCCAGUGUGAUAAGUUUCCACUUUGACCAUAGAAUGGGCUUCAGAACUGGCCUAUAUUGUAAAGGCCGAUUUGGUUAAUAUUCUCCGAUGCAGAUUUAUCCUUGUGUGCGUAAAAAAAAAAUGAAAUUUCAAAUUUUAGACACAUUAGCAAAUAAUAAUGUAACUAGUGAUCUUUGUUGUUCCGGUGACCGGUGGCCUUGUGCUGCCGGUUACCUAUCCUUUUGUUAUUUUUGUUUUGUUGUAAAAUAACUCUUCGCAAGGCGAUUUCUGUUCCCUUAGUGUAUCUUUCACUUCGCGAUGGCGGAUUUUUUUGUUUUGUAGCUAUCUCAAUUUCUUCAUGAUAUUUUCUUUUUUUUCUCUGAUUUUAGUUGGGUAAAUAAUAUUUCGGCUUCUUCCUUUGUGUGUUUGAUUUAAAAUCCCGUUUUAUAUCGAGAGAGAUGAUUGUCUUUCUCUGGUUAUUCUCAAGACUAAUUCUUUGUUUAGCCGAUUGGCUUAUUUGCAGAGUAUCUUAAGUUCUUUGAGUCGAUUGAUUAAGCUUGGGAAUUAUUUGGAAGACUCAGUAGAGUUGAAGCUCCUCGUAAAGAGACGCGUUUCUAUCCAUAAUUUCUGAAGCUUUCUCGUUGGUAUUCACAUCUAGUAGAGAUUGAUAAGAUAUCUCUUUGGUAGCGACGGAUAGUACGGAGGAAGGGGUAACUGCAGAUGGUUUCAAUGACUGAAGAUGCUUUCUAUUUGACGAAAAGUCAAAGCUUCGUUAAUGGGCAAGAGACAAAGAUACAAGAUGCAAUUUCGGAAGAGUCUGUGGUGGAGAAACUUUGCGGUGAUCGGAAAGGUGAAUUGUGGCAUGAAGGACACGUGUGUUAACACGAGUUUAGUUAAUAUCCCAGAAGCUUGAUACGUGUUAAAGUUGAUAAUAUCAACUACCGCUUUAUGGACAUUUCUGUGUAUUUUAAGUUAUUAUCUUUGUUGGGCUUUAUUCAAUUGAUACCUCUGUAAUAUGUCAGUUGGGCCUCAUUUCAAUGAAAUGAAAAUGUUGACAAAAAAAAAGUAGCGUAGAAAGUUCCGGAGUUCAUCUUAGAUUGUAAUUUGUAAAGUAAAUUUUAGGACAUACAUGAUUUUUAAGAGAAAAUGAGAUAAUAUGAUAUAUACUUCAUUUUUGGCAUAACUUAUAGAAUCAAUGAUAAUAAAUUAAAGCUCCUAAGAAAAAUUUAUAUAUAUAUAUAAGAUUAUACAUUCCAAAAUAGUAAUCCAAAGGACAACUACUUUCCCUUUUUCUUGUCUUGUGAAUUAAAACGAGGAAAAAUACGUUUAUAACGAAUAAAAUCAUCUCCUAACAAAAUCUCUUGGUCGGUUGGCAAAAACGACACCGUGUUUCAUAAGCCAAUAUCUUUCUAUCUCCUCCGGCGUCCGUCCCGGAAUCCUUCCGGC